GACGAGGGAUCCUAGCGUUGUUCGGAAUCAUUGGGCGUAAAGCGGGUGUAGGUGGCUUUGUAAGUCAGGUGUGAAAUCCUGGGGCUCAACCCCAGAAGUGCAUUUGAUACUGCUUAGCUUGAGUGCCGGAGAGGUUAUCAGAAUACCUGGUGUAGUGGUGAAAUACGUAGAUAUCAGGUGGAACACCGGAGGCGAAGGCGGAUAACUGGCCGGACACUGACACUCAGACCCGAAAGCGUGGGGAUCAAACAGG
Molecule: ribosomal RNA, 253 nt
Filed under: uncultured bacterium
Lineage: Bacteria
Description: partial 16S ribosomal RNA
Rfam family: Bacterial small subunit ribosomal RNA
Source: RNAcentral